Molecule: ribosomal RNA, 372 nt
Filed under: uncultured organism
Description: bacterial SSU rRNA
Rfam family: Bacterial small subunit ribosomal RNA
Source: RNAcentral
CGUAGGUGGCAAGCGUUGUCCGGAAUUAUUGGGCGUAAAGCGCGCGCAGGCGGUCCUUUAAGUCUGAUGUGAAAGCCCACGGCUCAACCGUGGAGGGUCAUUGGAAACUGGGGGACUUGAGUACAGAAGAGAAGAGUGGAAUUCCACGUGUAGCGGUGAAAUGCGUAGAGAUGUGGAGGAACACCAGUGGCGAAGGCGACUCUUUGGUCUGUAACUGACGCCGAGGCGCGAAAGCGUGGGGAGCAAACAGGAUUAGAUACCCUGGUAGUCCACGCUGUAAACGAUGAGUGCUAAGUGUUAGAGGGUUUCCGCCCUUUAGUGCUGCAGCUAACGCAUUAAGCACUCCGCCUGGGGAGUACGGCCGCAAGGCUG